ACGCACGCUGGCGGCGUGCUUAACCCAUGCCAGUCGAACGGAAAGGCCCUGCUUUUGUGGGGUGCUCGAGUGGCGAACGGGUGAGUAACACGUGAGUAACCUGCCCUUGACUUUAGGAUAACUUCAGGAAACUGGGGCUAAUACCGGAUAGGAGCUCCUGCUGCAUGGUGGGGGUUGGAAAGUUUCGGCGGUUGGGGAUGGACUCGCGGCUUAUCAGCUUGUUGGUGGGGUAGUGGCUUACCAAGGCUUUGACGGGUAGCCGGCCUGAGAGGGUGACCGGCCACAUUGGGACUGAGAUACGGCCCAGACUCCUACGGGAGGCAGCAGUGGGGAAUAUUGCACAAUGGGCGGAAGCCUGAUGCAGCAACGCCGCGUGCGGGAUGACGGCCUUCGGGUUGUAAACCGCUUUCGCCUGUGACGAAGCGUGAGUGACGGUAAUGGGUAAAGAAGCACCGGCUAACUACGUG
RNAcentral lists this ribosomal RNA (467 nucleotides) under uncultured bacterium. Its description in RNAcentral is "partial 16S ribosomal RNA". It matches the Rfam family "Bacterial small subunit ribosomal RNA", at positions 29 to 507 of the family's 1533-position model. The record is from RNAcentral.